AUUAUACUUCCUCCGUCCCAAAAUUCUUGUUUUAGAUUUGUCUAGAUAUGAAUGUUCUAGUCAAGUUUUAGUAUCUAGAUACAUCUGUUUCUAGACAAACAUAAGAUAAAUUUUUUCGGACGGAGGAAGUACUGA
Molecule: non-coding RNA, 135 nt
Organism: Hordeum vulgare subsp. vulgare (domesticated barley)
Lineage: Eukaryota; Viridiplantae; Streptophyta; Magnoliopsida; Poales; Poaceae
Source: Rfam